GCCAGCAUAGCUCAGUGGUAGAGCAACUGUUUUGUAAACAGUAGGUCGUGGGUUCAAAUCCCUCUGCUGGCUCCA
Molecule: transfer RNA, 75 nt
Filed under: Candidatus Berkelbacteria bacterium CG08_land_8_20_14_0_20_39_8
Lineage: Bacteria; Candidatus Berkelbacteria
Description: tRNA-Thr
Rfam family: tRNA
About the family: Transfer RNA (tRNA) molecules are approximately 80 nucleotides in length. Their secondary structure includes four short double-helical elements and three loops (D, anti-codon, and T loops).
Source: RNAcentral